This 817-nucleotide long non-coding RNA is filed under the name Cricetulus griseus (Chinese hamster). RNAcentral describes it as "lncRNA (ENSCGRG00015038468.1)". Lineage: Eukaryota; Metazoa; Chordata; Mammalia; Rodentia; Cricetidae. The record is from RNAcentral.
GUCACCUGCAAGAUGUAGGACUCUCAGCUAUCCCUCCAGCACCACAUCUACUUGUAUGGGGCCUUGCUGAGAAUGGAUUGACCCUCUGAAACUAAAAUGGAUACCAAGAAAGCCAAACACUUAUCAUACAGUUACAGCCUUGAAAAGAAAAAAAAAAAUCAAAGCUGGUAGGUCACCUGAAGAAAGACUGGGAGAAGAGAAGGCUGGGAGAAGAACCCGGCCCUGGAGAUGAACCCAUUAGCUGGAUAAACCAAACGGGGAAAAUCAAACGCGGAGGAGGAGGGGAUUGCCGAAAGACACACUACAGCAGAUCUUGCCUCUCCUGGUCUCUGGGGACCCCUGUGGGGACCCUCUCCAAGCCACGUGGGACGUACUGAAACCAGGCGCGCCCCGCCCCCACCUCAAGAGCCUUGGAAAACAAACUCCGGCGGACAAUGAACUCCAAAGGGAGAAGCCGGAGAGGGGCCAGGACUUUCACGCUCCUGGGAGCUCCCACCACUGGCGGAUUCAAGGGCAGCCUGCUUUAUUUAAUUAAUACAUUCAAAGCUUGCCUGGGAGCCCUAGGCGGGUGGGGGGAGGUCCUGGACCGGCGUGAGAAGGAGCUUUAAACGGGUUCCAGGUGUCGGUGCCCAGAAGUCAUCACCCGCCCACGGCUGUGGGAUGCAGGAGAUGUUCAGGCCUGAGGGGCGCCACAGCUCCCAUCCUGGUCUGCGGGCCAGGCCCUUCCGCAGCCUCAGCACCUGCGACAGCGACCGACCGACCGGUGGCGCUGCGAAGGCCAGCGUGGGCGUGAAGGCCUCCCGAGCUAUUCUGACCA